UAGAAGAUAGUUUAACACGAAAAACCAAGAAAUUUGAAUUCUUAAUUAUAAGUUCAACUCUUAUUCUUCUAA
Molecule: transfer RNA, 72 nt
Filed under: Tarsaster alaskanus
Lineage: Eukaryota; Metazoa; Echinodermata; Asteroidea; Forcipulatida; Pedicellasteridae
Description: tRNA-Gln
Rfam family: tRNA
About the family: Transfer RNA (tRNA) molecules are approximately 80 nucleotides in length. Their secondary structure includes four short double-helical elements and three loops (D, anti-codon, and T loops).
Source: RNAcentral